RNAcentral lists this transfer RNA (73 nucleotides) under Robbsia andropogonis. RNAcentral's name for it is "Burkholderia andropogonis tRNA". It matches the Rfam family "tRNA". From Rfam's summary of the family: Transfer RNA (tRNA) molecules are approximately 80 nucleotides in length. Their secondary structure includes four short double-helical elements and three loops (D, anti-codon, and T loops). Lineage: Bacteria; Pseudomonadati; Pseudomonadota; Betaproteobacteria; Burkholderiales; Burkholderiaceae. The record is from Rfam by way of RNAcentral.
GGGUCCUUAGCUCAGUUGGUAGAGCAGCGGACUUUUAAUCCGUUGGUCGCGAGUUCGAGUCUCGCAGGGCCUA